GUAGCUGUAGCUGAGAGGUUAAGGUGAUGGACUAGAAAUCCAUUGGGGUCUCCCUGCACAGGUUCAAAUCCUGUCAGCUACA
Molecule: non-coding RNA, 82 nt
Organism: Alligator mississippiensis (American alligator)
Lineage: Eukaryota; Metazoa; Chordata; Crocodylia; Alligatoridae
Source: the annotation of a RefSeq genome assembly